This 343-nucleotide unclassified non-coding RNA is filed under the name soil metagenome. RNAcentral's name for it is "partial contains 5.8S ribosomal RNA, internal transcribed spacer 2, and large subunit ribosomal RNA". The stretch from base 1 to 120 matches the Rfam family "5.8S ribosomal RNA", at positions 35 to 154 of the family's 154-position model. The record is from RNAcentral.
GAUGAAGAACGUAGCGAAAUGCGAUAAGUAAUGUGAAUUGCAGAUUUCAGUGAAUCAUCGAAUCUUUGAACGCACAUUGCGCCCGCCAGCAUUCUGGCGGGCAUGCCUGUUCGAGCGUCAUUUCAACCCUCGAGCCCCCCCGGGGGCCUCGGUGUUGGGGGACGGCACACCAGCCGCCCCCGAAAUGCAGUGGCGACCCCGCCGCAGCCUCCCCUGCGUAGUAGCACACACCUCGCACCGGAGCGCGGAGGCGGUCACGCCGUAAAACGCCCAACUUUCUUAGAGUUGACCUCGGAUCAGGUAGGAAUACCCGCUGAACUUAAGCAUAUCAAUAAGCGGAGGA